GAUGAACGCUGGCGGCGUGCUUAACACAUGCAAGUCGAACGGGAAACCUUUUAUUGAAGCUUCGGCAGAUUUAGCUGGUUUCUAGUGGCGGACGGGUGAGUAACGCGUGGGUAACCUGCCCUAUACAGGGGGAUAACAACCAGAAAUGGUUGCUAAUACCGCAUAAGCGCACAGGGCCGCAUGGUCCGGUGUGAAAAACUCCGGUGGUAUAGGAUGGACCCGCGUUGGAUUAGCCAGUUGGCAGGGUAACGGCCUACCAAAGCGACGAUCCAUAGCCGGCCUGAGAGAGUGAACGGCCACAUUGGGACUGAGACACGGCCCAGACUCCUACGGGAGGCAGCAGUGGGGAAUAUUGCACAAUGGGGGAAACCCUGAUGCAGCGACGCCGCGUGAAGGAAGAAGUAUCUCGGGAUGUAAACUUCUAUCAGCAGGGAAGAUAGUGACGGUACCUGACUAAGAAGCCCCGGCUAACUACGUG
Molecule: ribosomal RNA, 478 nt
Filed under: uncultured bacterium
Lineage: Bacteria
Description: partial 16S ribosomal RNA
Rfam family: Bacterial small subunit ribosomal RNA
Source: RNAcentral